This 544-nucleotide ribosomal RNA is filed under the name Acaulospora cavernata. RNAcentral describes it as "SSU rRNA". It matches the Rfam family "Eukaryotic small subunit ribosomal RNA", at positions 548 to 1098 of the family's 1831-position model. RNAcentral also lists the same sequence under 1 other name. The record is from RNAcentral. Lineage: Eukaryota; Fungi; Glomeromycota; Glomeromycetes; Diversisporales; Acaulosporaceae.
UUGGAGGGCAAGUCUGGUCCAGCAGCCGCGGUAAUUCCAGCUCCAAUAGCGUAUAUAAAGUUGUUGCAGUUAAAGCUCGUAGUUGAAUUUCGGAGUUUAUGGUUGGUCGGGCUUCACUGUCCGCACUGACCUGAUUGAUUCCUACCUUCUGAAUAACCAGCAUGCUUAAGUUAGUGCGUUGGGGAAGCAGAGCUACUACCUUGAAAAAAUUAGAGUGCUUAAAGCAGGCUUAUGCUUGAAUAGAUUAGCAUGGAAUAAUAAAAUAGGACGGCAUGGUUCUAUUUUGUUGGUUUCUAGGAUCACCGUAAUGAUUAAUAGGGAUAGUUGGGGGCAUUAGUAUUCAAUUGUCAGAGGUGAAAUUCUUGGAUUUAUUGAAGACUAACUUCUGCGAAAGCAUUUGCCAAGGAUGUUUUCAUUAAUCAAGAACGAAAGUUAGGGGAUCGAAGACGAUCAGAUACCGUCGUAGUCUUAACCAUAAACUAUGCCGACUAGGGAUCGGACGAUGUUAAUUUUUUAAUGACUCGUUCGGCGCCUUACGGGAAAC